GACGAACGCUGGCGGCGUGCCUAAUACAUGCAAGUCGAGCGGACGAAUCGAAAGCUUGCUUUUGAUUCGUUAGCGGCGGACGGGUGAGUAACACGUGGGCAACCUGCCCUGUAGACGGGGAUAACACCGAGAAAUCGGUGCUAAUACCGGAUAACACGAAAUGUCGCAUGACGUUUCGUUGAAAGACGGCGCAAGCUGUCGCUACAGGAUGGGCCCGCGGCGCAUUAGCUAGUUGGUGAGGUAACGGCUCACCAAGGCGACGAUGCGUAGCCGACCUGAGAGGGUGAUCGGCCACACUGGGACUGAGACACGACCCAGACUCCUACGGGAGGCAGCAGUAGGGAAUCUUCCGCAAUGGACGAAAGUCUGACGGAGCAACGCCGCGUGAGCGAAGAAGGCCUUCGGGUCGUAAAGCUCUGUUGUUAGGGAAGAACAAGUAACGCAGUAACUGGCGUUACCGUGACGGUACCUAACGAGAAAGCCACGGCUAACUACGUG
This 498-nucleotide ribosomal RNA is filed under the name uncultured bacterium. Its description in RNAcentral is "partial 16S ribosomal RNA". It matches the Rfam family "Bacterial small subunit ribosomal RNA", at positions 28 to 507 of the family's 1533-position model. The record is from RNAcentral.